This 517-nucleotide ribosomal RNA is filed under the name uncultured bacterium. RNAcentral describes it as "bacterial SSU rRNA". It matches the Rfam family "Bacterial small subunit ribosomal RNA", at positions 153 to 666 of the family's 1533-position model. The record is from RNAcentral.
GAAACGUGGAUUAAUACCUCAUGGUACUAUAUAACUGCAUAGUUUAAUAGUUAAAACUUCGGUGGUAUAAGAUGGGCAUGCGUAGGAUUAGGUAGUUGGUGAGGUAAUAGCUCACCAAGCCGACGAUCCUUAGGGGUUCUGAGAGGAUUAUCCCCCACACUGGUACUGAGACACGGACCAGACUCCUACGGGAGGCAGCAGUGAGGAAUAUUGGGCAAUGGAGGCAACUCUGACCCAGCCAUCCCGCGUGCAGGAUGACGGCCCUAUGGGUUGUAAACUGCUUUUGUUUGCCAAGAAUGGUUACUACGUGUAGUAAUUUGACGGUAGCAAAUGAAUAAGGACCGGCUAACUCCGUGCCAGCAGCCGCGGUAAUACGGAGGGUCCAAGCGUUAUCCGGAUUCAUUGGGGUUUAAAGGGGUGCGCAGGCGGANCUUUAGGUCAGUGGUGAAAUCUUGCCGCUUAACGGUAAAAUUGCCAUUGAUNUGAAGUNCUUGAAUUAUGGUUUGAGGUAGCCGAA